This 262-nucleotide long non-coding RNA is filed under the name Musa acuminata (dwarf banana). RNAcentral describes it as "long non-coding RNA (MACU_LNC001194)". The record is from RNAcentral. Lineage: Eukaryota; Viridiplantae; Streptophyta; Magnoliopsida; Zingiberales; Musaceae.
CAUGAUAUAUCAAAUAAUUCAUUAAACCAAAGAAAUUGUAUAAAAUUUUCUAGUACAAAAUUUUCUUAUAUCAUACCGUAACACAAUUAUUACUUUUAUAAUGCCAAAAAGAAGUCCUAAAUGGAGCUGAAAAGCAUACCGUAACACAAUUAUUACUUUUAACUUACCUUAAAAUAAGAGGAGAGAUGGGAUUUUUGCUAUUGAUUGUGUGCACUCAUGACAUUAAUGUCCUGGAAAUAUUGAGGACAUGUUCUACGAACUC